This is a small nuclear RNA of 188 nucleotides. Its record names the gene U2. It matches the Rfam family "U2 spliceosomal RNA". From Rfam's summary of the family: U2 is a small nuclear RNA (snRNA) component of the spliceosome (involved in pre-mRNA splicing). The record is from Ensembl.
AUCGCUUCUCGGCCUUUUUGCUAAGAUCAGGUGUAGUAUCUGUUCUUAUCGCUUCUCGGCCUUUUGGCUAAGAUCAAGGGUGGAGACUGCGAUCGCUUCCUAAAUAGACCAAGGGCUUGUGCCGAUUUAUGGCCAAAUCCAUUUCUAUUUGGGAGGAAAUUGUACUGUUUUUUUGCAGGUAUUUCUUA